UAUAGUUGGGUGCCUUUGAAUGACUUUAUUCCCUUAUUUAGCUUUUCUCCGCUAUAAGUAGAGACUGUAUCAGUUCAUCCGUAUUAAUGAUAAAGUAUUAGUGUUAGAAACAUAAAAUUUCCCGGCUAUGAAAGCAUCGGUUCUGGAAUCAGUGAAGCAUGAACGAAGCAAUAAUGUGUCAAAUGAGGAAUGUAAAGAGGCAAGAGGCCAAGGUUGGAAAUGAA
Molecule: unclassified non-coding RNA, 224 nt
Filed under: Hevea brasiliensis (rubber tree)
Lineage: Eukaryota; Viridiplantae; Streptophyta; Magnoliopsida; Malpighiales; Euphorbiaceae
Source: RNAcentral